RNAcentral lists this long non-coding RNA (321 nucleotides) under Elaeis guineensis (African oil palm). Its description in RNAcentral is "long non-coding RNA (EGUI_LNC035526)". The record is from RNAcentral. Lineage: Eukaryota; Viridiplantae; Streptophyta; Magnoliopsida; Arecales; Arecaceae.
GGGUAUGUCUUUAGGAUUUCUAGCUAAUAGAGUUUUUGGUGAAACAAACUCUUCUCUCUCCUUUCUCCAUGCCUUCUCUCCUCCCUCUCUUUUCUUCCACGUCCAAGAGUUGGGCGUCCCCUCUUCCACAUGCUAAGAGGUAGUGCUUUGUGACUUCAAGAGUGAAGAUCGAGGAGAAGAAGAAGACUGCUGAUCAAAGAGUUGAUCCCGCAGUCAGAUCAAGAUAUUGAUCAAAGUAUUCCAGACUAAGAUUCUUCUUGAGAAGAAGAGUCUUCUACGAAGAGAGAUCAGUUCGAGAUUGAUUUCGGUGGAUACCCGUAA